Molecule: ribosomal RNA, 253 nt
Filed under: uncultured bacterium
Lineage: Bacteria
Description: partial 16S ribosomal RNA
Rfam family: Bacterial small subunit ribosomal RNA
Source: RNAcentral
UACGAAGGGAGCUAGCGUUGUUUGGAAUUACUGGGCGUAAAGCGCAUGCAGGCGGAUCGUUAAGUCGGGGGUGAAAUCCCGAGGCUCAACCUCGGAACUGCCUUCGAUACUGGCGAUCUUGAGUCCGGGAGAGGUGAGUGGAACUGCGAGUGUAGAGGUGAAAUUCGUAGAUAUUCGCAAGAACACCAGUGGCGAAGGCGGCUCACUGGCCCGGUACUGACGCUGAGAUGCGAAAGCGUGGGGAGCAAACAGG